AGUUAGGUUACUUAUAUUGGGGGCCUGUCUUCCUUACUAACCUAACCUAACCUAACCCAUUCCUUCCUUCUCGUCAAGCUGUUGGUGGGAGAAGCCCCAGGACUCUCAAGCGUGGGUUGAGUCACAACUGCGGGUGUGCUAGCUCACCUUGAAGUCCGGCGGGGCUCACGUGUUGCAGUGUUGCAGUGUUGCAGAACUUCACCCAAACAAGGGGAGUAUUGUUUUUUUUGUGUUUUGUAUAUAUAUAUAUUUUUUGUGGGGGGGAGGGGGUCUGGGGAUAGCUAUCUGCGGUGUGCGUCUGUGCGUGCGUCUGUGUGUGUGUGCGUCUGUGUGUGCGUCUGUGCGUGUGCGUCUGUGCACGUGCGUCUGUGUGCGUGCAUCUGUGUGUAUGUCUUUUUUUUGGUUGUGUGUGUGUGAAUUCUUUUUUGGUAUAAAUAUAUAGGUGGCAGGCCAUAGUGUUAGGAUAUUUGACACAGAUUAAUAUAGAAGAUGGUUUAGGUUAGUUAAGGGUUAAGUGAGGCAUAGAGAGAGAGAGAGAGAGAGAGAGGGGAAGACAGAUAUUAAUAGGAUUAGCUUAUAUUUUUUUUAGGGUUUUAAGUAAGUAUCUAGGUGGCAGGUCAGAAUGAUAUAAUAUUUAACACAGAUUAAUAUAGAAGAUGGUUUUAAGUUAGUAUAUAUCAAAGGGUUAGAAAGGGUUAAUAGUAUUAGGAUGACAGGAGUAUAUAUGAAAGAGUUAAGUGAGGCAUAGAGAGAGAGAGAGAUAGGGUUAUUAAUAGGAUGACAGGAGUAUAUAUGAAAGGGUUAAGUGAGGCAUAGAAAGGGUUAUUAAUAGGAUUAGGAUGACGGGGUGUAUGAAUGUUUAACUCAGAUUAUAUUGAAAGUUUAUUUCUUUAUAAUCUGGGUUUGUAUGGCAUGUUGAAUUAUUAGUAUGUUAUUUUUGUAGUGGUGGUAGUGGUGGU
Long non-coding RNA from Scylla paramamosain (green mud crab), 959 nucleotides. RefSeq lists it as uncharacterized. The transcript has 3 exons. The record is from RefSeq and is a predicted model, not a curated record. NCBI's taxonomy places the organism in Eukaryota, Metazoa, Arthropoda, Malacostraca, Decapoda, Portunidae.